Molecule: ribosomal RNA, 506 nt
Filed under: uncultured bacterium
Lineage: Bacteria
Description: partial 16S ribosomal RNA
Rfam family: Bacterial small subunit ribosomal RNA
Source: RNAcentral
AGUGAACGCUGGCGGCAGGCCUAACACAUGCAAGUCGAACGGCAGCACAGGGGAGCUUGCUCCCUGGGUGGCGAGUGGCGGACGGGUGAGGAAUACAUCGGAAUCUGCCUAUACGUGGGGGAUAACGUAGGGAAACUUACGCUAAUACCGCAUACGUCCUACGGGAGAAAGCGGGGGAUCGCAAGACCUCGCGCGGAUAGACGAGCCGAUGUCCGAUUAGCUAGUUGGUGGGGUAAUGGCCCACCAAGGUGACGAUCGGUAGCUGGUCUGAGAGGAUGAUCAGCCACACUGGAACUGAGACACGGUCCAGACUCCUACGGGAGGCAGCAGUGGGGAAUAUUGGACAAUGGGCGAAAGCCUGAUCCAGCCAUGCCGCGUGGGUGAAGAAGGCCUUCGGGUUGUAAAGCCCUUUUGUUGGGAAAGAAAAGCGACCGGUUAAUACCCGGUUGUUCUGACGGUACCCAAAGAAUAAGCACCGGCUAACUUCGUGCCAGCCGCCGCCGUAA